RNAcentral lists this ribosomal RNA (524 nucleotides) under uncultured bacterium. RNAcentral describes it as "bacterial SSU rRNA". It matches the Rfam family "Bacterial small subunit ribosomal RNA", at positions 355 to 896 of the family's 1533-position model. The record is from RNAcentral.
UGGGGAAUAUUGGACAAUGGACCGAGAGUCUGAUCCAGCAAUUCUGUGUGCACGAUGAAGUUUUUCGGAAUGUAAAGUGCUUUCAGUUGGGAAGAAAAAAAUGACGGUACCAACAGAAGAAGUGACGGCUAAAUACGUGCCAGCAGCCGCGGUAAUACGUAUGUCACGAGCGUUAUCCGGAUUUAUUGGGCGUAAAGCGCGUCUAGGUGGUUAUGUAAGUCUGAUGUGAAAAUGCAGGGCUCAACUCUGUAUUGCGUUGGAAACUGUAUAACUAGAGUACUGGAGAGGUAAGCGGAACUACAAGUGUAGAGGUGAAAUUCGUAGAUAUUUGUAGGAAUGCCGAUGGGGAAGCCAGCUUACUGGACAGAUACUGACGCUAAAGCGCGAAAGCGUGGGUAGCAAACAGGAUUAGAUACCCUGGUAGUCCACGCUGUAAACGAUGAUUACUAGGUGUUGGGGGUCGAACCUCAACGCCCAAGCAAACGCGAUAAGUAAUCCGCCUGGGGAGUACGUACGCAAGUAUG